RNAcentral lists this ribosomal RNA (253 nucleotides) under uncultured bacterium. RNAcentral's name for it is "partial 16S ribosomal RNA". It matches the Rfam family "Bacterial small subunit ribosomal RNA", at positions 524 to 776 of the family's 1533-position model. The record is from RNAcentral.
UACGUAGGGUGCAGGCGUUAAUCGGAAUUACUGGGCGUAAAGCGUGCGCAGGCGGCUUUGCAAGACAGAUGUGAAAUCCCCGGGCUUAACCUGGGAACUGCAUUUGUGACUGCAUGGCUGGAGUGCGGCAGAAGGGGAUGGAAUUCCGCGUGUAGCAGUGAAAUGCGUAGAUAUGCGGAGGAACACCGAUGGCGAAGGCAGUCCCCUGGGCCUGCACUGACGCUCAUGCACGAAAGCGUGGGGAGCAAACAGG